GGCCCUAUCGUCUAGUGGUUAGGACUCCAGGUUUUCAUCCUGGCAACAGGGGUUCGAUUCCCCUUAGGGCUA
Molecule: transfer RNA, 72 nt
Filed under: bacterium
Lineage: Bacteria
Description: tRNA-Glu
Rfam family: tRNA
About the family: Transfer RNA (tRNA) molecules are approximately 80 nucleotides in length.
Source: RNAcentral